This 349-nucleotide ribosomal RNA is filed under the name uncultured bacterium. Its description in RNAcentral is "bacterial SSU rRNA". It matches the Rfam family "Bacterial small subunit ribosomal RNA", at positions 917 to 1269 of the family's 1533-position model. The record is from RNAcentral.
GGGCCCGCACAAGCGGUGGAGCAUGUGGUUUAAUUCGAUGAUACGCGAGGAACCUUACCAGGGCUUAAAUGUAAGUUGCAUAAACUAGAGAUAGUUUUUUCUUCGGACUACUUACAAGGUGCUGCAUGGUUGUCGUCAGCUCGUGCCGUGAGGUGUCAGGUUAAGUCCUAUAACGAGCGCAACCCCUAUCGUUAGUUGCCAACAGGUUAAGCUGGGAACUCUAACGAGACUGCCGGUGCAAACCGCGAGGAAGGUGGGGAUGACGUCAAAUCAUCACGGCCCUUACGUCCUGGCUACACACGUGCUACAAUGGCCGGUACAGAGAGCAGCCACUCCGCGAGGAGGAGCG